CAACCUACCUAUCAGAGGGGAAUAACCCGGCGAAAGUCGGACUAAUACCGCAUAAAACAGGGGCACCGNNUGGUGAUAUUUGUUAAAGAAAUUCGCUGAUAGAUGGGCAUGCGUUCCAUUAGGUAGUUGGUGAGGUAACGGCUCACCAAGCCGACGAUGGAUAGGGGAACUGAGAGGUUGGUCCCCCACACUGGUACUGAGACACGGACCAGACUCCUACGGGAGGCAGCAGUGAGGAAUAUUGGUCAAUGGGCGGGAGCCUGAACCAGCCAAGUCGCGUGAAGGAAGAAGGAUCUAUGGUUCGUAAACUUCUUUUGCAGGGGAAUAAAGUGCAGGACGUGUCCUGUUUUGUAUGUACCCUGAGAAUAAGGAUCGGCUAACUCCGUGCCAGCAGCCGCGGUAAUACGGAGGAUCCGAGCGUUAUCCGGAUUUAUUGGGUUUAAAGGGUGCGUAGGUGGUUUGAUAAGUCAGCGGUGAAAGUUUGCAGCUUAACUGUAAAAAUGCCGUUGAAACUGUCGGACUUGAGUGUAAAUGAGGUAGGCGGAAUGCGUGGUGUAGCGGUGAAAUGCAUAGAUAUCACGAAGAACUCCGAUUG
RNAcentral lists this ribosomal RNA (595 nucleotides) under uncultured Bacteroidota bacterium. RNAcentral's name for it is "bacterial SSU rRNA". It matches the Rfam family "Bacterial small subunit ribosomal RNA", at positions 122 to 715 of the family's 1533-position model. The record is from RNAcentral. Lineage: Bacteria; Pseudomonadati; Bacteroidota.